GAUGAACGCUGGCGGCGUGCCUAAUACAUGCAAGUCGAGCGAACAGACGAGGAGCUUGCUCCUCUGACGUUAGCGGCGGACGGGUGAGUAACACGUGGAUAACCUACCUAUAAGACUGGGAUAACUUCGGGAAACCGGAGCUAAUACCGGAUAAUAUAUUGAACCGCAUGGUUCAAUAGUGAAAGACGGUUUUGCUGUCACUUAUAGAUGGAUCCGCGCCGCAUUAGCUAGUUGGUAAGGUAACGGCUUACCAAGGCAACGAUGCGUAGCCGACCUGAGAGGGGGGUCGGCCACACGGGAACUGAGACACGGUCCAGACUCCUACGGGAGGCAGCAGUAGGGAAUCUUCCGCAAUGGGCGAAAGCCUGACGGAGCAACGCCGCGUGAGUGAUGAAGGUCUUCGGAUCGUAAAACUCUGUUAUUAGGGAAGAACAAAUGUGUAAGUAACUAUGCACGUCUUGACGGUACCUAAUCAGAAAGCCACGGCUAACUACGUG
Molecule: ribosomal RNA, 497 nt
Filed under: uncultured bacterium
Lineage: Bacteria
Description: partial 16S ribosomal RNA
Rfam family: Bacterial small subunit ribosomal RNA
Source: RNAcentral